This 66-nucleotide transfer RNA is filed under the name Ellipes minuta. Its description in RNAcentral is "tRNA-Leu". Lineage: Eukaryota; Metazoa; Arthropoda; Insecta; Orthoptera; Tridactylidae. The record is from RNAcentral.
UCUAAUAUGGCAGACUAGUGCGUGAGACUUAAGAUCUUAACAUAAAGAAUAACCCUUUUAUUAGAA